This 423-nucleotide ribosomal RNA is filed under the name uncultured bacterium. Its description in RNAcentral is "bacterial SSU rRNA". It matches the Rfam family "Bacterial small subunit ribosomal RNA", at positions 11 to 424 of the family's 1533-position model. The record is from RNAcentral.
GUUUGAUCCUGGCUCAGAGUGAACGCUGGCGGCAGGCCUAACACAUGCAAGUCGAGCGGCAGCGCGUCCGACCACCCUCGGGUGGUCGGAUGGCGGCGAGCGGCGGACGGGUGAGGAAUGCAUCGGAAUCUGCCUCGUUGUGGGGGAUAACGUAGGGAAACUUACGCUAAUACCGCAUACGACCUACGGGUGAAAGUGGGGGACCUUCGGGCCUCACGCGAUGAGAUGAGCCGAUGCCGGAUUAGCUAGUUGGCGGGGUAAAGGCCCACCAAGGCGACGAUCCGUAGCUGGUCUGAGAGGAUGAUCAGCCACACUGGAACUGAGACACGGUCCAGACUCCUACGGGAGGCAGCAGUGGGGAAUAUUGGACAAUGGGGGCAACCCUGAUCCAGCCAUGCCGCGUGUGUGAAGAAGGCCUCGGUU